RNAcentral lists this transfer RNA (67 nucleotides) under Geospiza fortis (medium ground-finch). RNAcentral's name for it is "tRNA-Ser". The record is from RNAcentral. Lineage: Eukaryota; Metazoa; Chordata; Aves; Passeriformes; Thraupidae.
GAGGAGAGGNNCAAACCAACAGGAACUGCUAAUUCCCGUAUCUGAGUAUAAAACCUCAGUCUCCUUA